GUCAAUUCACAUCACAGAAAGAGGGAGAGAUAAAACUGUCAGGGCUUUAUAUGGAAUGAGUUACUUGUUUCUGAUUGGUUUAAGUUUUAUGAUUGACUUGUGCUGCUGGAGGUUAUGCAAAAUACUCGCCUCCUGCCUUUAUUAAAAUUAAGAUUAUAGGUGCACUACAUUAGCAUAAUCUACAAUUCAUGACCAUUGAGCAGUAGGUGUAUGAAACUGGAG
Pelobates cultripes (western spadefoot toad) is the source of this 222-nucleotide non-coding RNA. Lineage: Eukaryota; Metazoa; Chordata; Amphibia; Anura; Pelobatidae. The record is from the annotation of a GenBank genome assembly.